GAGGCAGUUGCUGAAGGAGAGAACAGGUGGAGGCCAUCUGACAGUGACAUUCCUCAAAGCUGGGCAGCACAUUCUUCCUUGAAGGGGUCUGUCUGACACACCUCCGUAUCUGCCACAUGGGAAUAGGUUUGCCUAUCUUUACCAAGAGCUUGAUGAUUUGAACCACUGACUGAUUGCCCUGUACUUGGAGGAUGUGAGGAAGCAGAAUUGAGCCAAUAAAGAGAAGAGGAAGAAGGAGCCACAGAACUGAGUGGGAUGUCCCCUGAGCACUCCUUGGUGGAGCAAAAGUCUUGCAAGUCUCUAGUGCGCUGGGCAGGCUGAGGGCGUUCAGCCGAGAACACAGCUCUGUAAAUACAUCAGCGAGGAUGCAUAUAUACAGUUUCCCCAGUGCUCCCUCAGACCCUUGGAGGCUGGGCUACUCCAAGCUCUGUUUCCUGCAAAAAAAUGGAGUAAGUCCUGUGGAGUCUAAAUACACAUUCCCUCUGCAUUAUACCCACGCCUCGACUUCAUUAUAUCUAGGAGCACUGAGACAAAGAGAUUUAUAACAAACUUCAUCCAAGCCAAGAAUGAAACACGGCAGCCUCCAUGCAGCAGGAAACCCAUUGAUCUGUUUCUUAUAAGCAUGUGGUUCUAUGCUGUUUUUCUGCCAAAGCUUUUCCCUGCCUCCCACUUGAGGAGCAUACACCAGCUGAUUCUGCAGAUUGACUCUACAUCAUUCUCUGUCAUGAAGCCAUGGCAUGUGUUUAUGCGUCUGUAACAAAGCGUUUAUAUUCUGCCAUCUGCAUAAAAACUGCUGAAGGACAUUUCAGCAAGAAUCCCUAUGGUUUAUGCAGCUGCAUGUUGAACAUGAAAAUCUAAGAUAUGACAGUGGUCUUUCAUUCAUACAACCUUUGAAUUUUGGUAAAGUUCUGAUGUAAUGUUAAAGAGUGGUAUUUUGAGGACUACGCAUCAAGAUAUAAACAUGGCACAUCUUUUAUAAUAUCAGCCACUGGAAGACAUUUGAAAUAAUAUUUGUAUAAUUGUGGGCUGUAUUAUCUUUCUUUCUUGCACAUAAUAAAGUUUCACUGGAAGUAAACUUUUCAAGUAUCAAUUUUAGAAUUCCUGAUUCAUCCUAAGCGGUUUUGUUCUUUUUUUACAGGUGAAAUCAUACUUAAAAGUUGUAUGUAUGCAGCUGGAGAUACGUGCCUUUGAAAUCCUUUCAUAACCAAUAUUCUAAUCUCCUAUUUAAGUAGGGUAAAUAGGCCAUUUAUCCUCAACAUCUGAUACAGCUGUCUACAAUAUUAAAACAUUUAGCAAUACCAUGAAAUUCGGAGAAGAAAUGUAAUGUUUUCUACCCACUCAGGCCAAUAUUUCUAAAGCUAAUGUGGUGGGAAGAUGCGUGGUGUUACCCAAACUAUUCACAAUUAUUUCAGAAAAUUUGGAAACAGAAGAAAAUCAUCCAUAAUUUUGUCACCCCAAUUUAACAAAUCAUAUCUUUAAAUACUGUCUCUUAGUCAUUUGUGCGUAGUUGCAUCCUUGCAGUCACAGAGUAUGGCCUAUACUUUUUCACUUUGUAUUACAAUGCAAGUCUUUUCAUUCUGCUGCAUAUUCUUCAUAAGCUUUAUUAAUGGCUGCCUUAGCAGUUAUUCCAUCCACUAUUCACUAUUUUGAGGUUAAUUUUUUAUUAUAAUUAAUGUAAUGAUGAAUAUCUUCUUACACAUAGACUUUUUAAUUAUUUUUUUUUUAGAAUAAAAUUCCAGGAAUUAAUUAGCUGGCUUAAGUAACACAUACAUUUUAUUGCUUAGAAUACAUUAUAAAACUACUUUCAAAAAUAAUUAUUUCAUCUUGUAAGGGUAUACAAGUACAUUAUCAUUUAAUAUUUUAGUAAAUUAAGUAAAAAUUUAGGUCUUUGUUUUACUUGAUCAUUUCUUUUGAUAACAGCUAGGUUUGACACUGUUUUACAUCUUGUCCACUGUUUGUUAUUCAUAUUGAGUGAAUUUUUUGUUGUUGCUCUGGACUGGUGAUAGUUUCUAAAUGAGGAUCUUAAUUUCAAU
This 2033-nucleotide long non-coding RNA is filed under the name Homo sapiens (human). RNAcentral's name for it is "non-protein coding lnc-GABPA-3:10". The record is from RNAcentral. Lineage: Eukaryota; Metazoa; Chordata; Mammalia; Primates; Hominidae.